Molecule: long non-coding RNA, 457 nt
Filed under: Fukomys damarensis (Damara mole-rat)
Lineage: Eukaryota; Metazoa; Chordata; Mammalia; Rodentia; Bathyergidae
Description: lncRNA (ENSFDAG00000027322.1)
Source: RNAcentral
GCUUCAUGCGGGCCGGAAAGUGGCCUCUUGUGUUCGUGUUGGCACAUGGCGUUGGCACACGGCAGGGGUUCGGUUUAUGCCGUCCACUGGUAGCAAACAUUUAUUGAAUGGCAGGCAUCCUGCCAACCACGAAAGACUCAGUCUUCAAAAUGCUCGCAAAUGGACAAAUAAACUGCAAUGAAAGCCUUUAAAAAUCCACGUUUAUUUUGUUUCUAGUUUGGAGGUUUCAAGCCACUGCAUAUACCAAAUGCUUCAGCCAACUUGGAUAUGAACAUUCGAGCCUCCAAAAAUAGGCAGCAGACUCACGGCCCGAAUCUCAUUUCUCCACACACUUCUGCCUGCCCUCCGAACAGACUUCCUUCGGACUCCAGCUUUCACCAAGGCUGGAGUAGCGCCCACGAAACGAGCCUGAACCGUCUCUGGGAUAUCAAGCAAGUAACUACUUAAGCCGUCGGGC